UAGGGAAUCUUCGGCAAUGGACGAAAGUCUGACCGAGCAACGCCGCGUGAGUGAAGAAGGUUUUCGGAUCGUAAAACCCUGUUGGUAGAGAAGAACGUUGGUGAGAGUGGAAAGCUCAUCAAGUGACGGUAACUACCCAGAAAGGGACGGCUAACUACGUGCCAG
This 165-nucleotide ribosomal RNA is filed under the name uncultured bacterium. RNAcentral's name for it is "partial 16S ribosomal RNA". It matches the Rfam family "Bacterial small subunit ribosomal RNA", at positions 355 to 511 of the family's 1533-position model. The record is from RNAcentral.